RNAcentral lists this ribosomal RNA (1427 nucleotides) under metagenome. RNAcentral describes it as "bacterial SSU rRNA". It matches the Rfam family "Archaeal small subunit ribosomal RNA". The record is from RNAcentral.
UCCCGUUGAUCCUGCGGGAGGCUGCUGCUAUUGGGAUUCGAUUUAGCCAUGCAAGUUAAGGUAGCAAUACCGGCAAAAUGCUUAGUAACACGUCGAUAACUUGCCCUAUGGUUUGGGAUAACCUCGGGAAACUGAGGGUAAACCCGAAUAUGAGAUAAUGACUGGAAUGUCUCUUCUCUGAAAAGUAAUGCCAUAGGAUAGGUCGGCGGCGGAUUAGGCUGUUGGCGGGGUAAUGGCCCACCAAACCGAAGAUCCGUAGGGGCCUUGAGAGAGGUAGCCCCAAGAAGGACACUGAGAUACUGGUCCUAGCCCUACGGGGUGCAGCAGGCGCGAAACCUUUACAAUGCACGAAAGUGUGAUAAGGGAAUCCCAAGUGCUCAUGCUCUGCAUGGGCUUUUGCCAAGAUUAGAACCCUUGGAGAAUAAGUGGUGGGUAAGACUGGUGCCAGCCGCCGCGGUAACACCAGCGCCACAAGUGGGAGCCACAUUUAUUGGGCCUAAAGCGUUCGUAGCAGGUUUAGUAAAUCUUUUGUGAAAUUGUCAGGCUUAACCUAACAGUGUGCAGAAGAGACUGCUAAACUUGAGACCGGGAGGGGUCAGAGGUAUUCUUGGGGGAGCGGUAAAAUGCUAUAAUCCCUUGAAGACCACCUGUAGCGAAGGCGUCUGACCAGAACGGAUCUGACUGUGAGGGACGAAAGCUAGGGGAGCAAUCCGGAUUAGAUACCCGAGUAGUCCUAGCUGUAAACUCUGCGAGAAAGGUGUUGCACAUUCUUCGAGGAUGUGCAGCGUCGAAGCGAAGGCGUUAAUCUCGCCGCCUGGGAAGUACGGUCGCAAGGCUGAAACUUAAAGGAAUUGGCGGGGGAGCACCACAAGGGGUGCGGCGUGCGGUUUAAUCUAACUCAACGCAGAAAAUCUUACUAGAGGCGACGGCAGGAUGAAGGUCUAGCUGAAUACUAUACCCAACAAGCCGAGAGGUAGUGCAUGGCCGCCGUCAGCUCGUGCCGUAAGGUGUCCUGUUAAGUCAGGCAACGAGCGAGACCUGUGCCCAUAAUUGCUAGCGACUAAUUUAGGAUCGAGCACAUUAUGGGAACUGCCCUCGAAAGAGGGAGGUAGGUGCAGGCUACGGUAGGUCUGUAUGCUCCGAAUCUUCUAGGCUACACGCGCGCAACAAUGGUACGGACAAUAGGAUGCAACUCUGAAAAGAGAAGCUAAUCCCCGAAACCGUAUCUUAGUCCAGAUUGAGGGCUGUAACUCGCCCUCAUGACGAUGGAAUCCCUAGUAAUCGGGUUUCAACACGGCCCGGUGAAUAUGUCCCUGCUCCUUGCACACACCGCCCGUCAAAUCAACCGAGCAGGGUUUGGGUGAGACUCAGCUUAUUGGCUGAAGCGAAUCCAAGCUCGGUGAGGUGGGUUAAGUCGUCACAAGGUA